This 676-nucleotide ribosomal RNA is filed under the name uncultured Bacteroidales bacterium. Its description in RNAcentral is "bacterial SSU rRNA". It matches the Rfam family "Bacterial small subunit ribosomal RNA", at positions 46 to 710 of the family's 1533-position model. Lineage: Bacteria; Pseudomonadati; Bacteroidota; Bacteroidia; Bacteroidales. The record is from RNAcentral.
GCUUAACACAUGCAAGUCGAGGGGCAUCAGUUUGGUUUGCUUGCAAACCAAAGCUGGCGACCGGCGCACGGGUGAGUAACACGUAUCCAACCUGCCUCAUACUCGGGGAUAGCCUUUCGAAAGAAAGAUUAAUAUCCGAUAGCAUAUAUUUCCCGCAUGGGUUUUAUAUUAAAGAAAUUCGGUAUGAGAUGGGGAUGCGUUCCAUUAGUUUGUUGGCGGGGUAACGGCCCACCAAGACUACGAUGGAUAGGGGUUCUGAGAGGAAGGUCCCCCACAUUGGAACUGAGACACGGUCCAAACUCCUACGGGAGGCAGCAGUGAGGAAUAUUGGUCAAUGGACGCGAGUCUGAACCAGCCAAGUAGCGUGAAGGAUGACUGCCCUAUGGGUUGUAAACUUCUUUUAUAUGGGAAUAAAGUGGUCCACGUGUGGAUUUUUGUAUGUACCAUAUGAAUAAGGAUCGGCUAACUCCGUGCCAGCAGCCGCGGUAAUACGGAGGAUCCGAGCGUUAUCCGGAUUUAUUGGGUUUAAAGGGAGCGUAGGCGGAUUGUUAAGUCAGUUGUGAAAGUUUGCGGCUCAACCGUAAAAUUGCAGUUGAUACUGGCAGUCUUGAGUGCAGUAGAGGUGGGCGGAAUUCGUGGUGUAGCGGUGAAAUGCUUAGAUAUCACGAAGAACUCC